Long non-coding RNA from Phyllopteryx taeniolatus (common seadragon), 919 nucleotides. RefSeq lists it as uncharacterized. The record is from RefSeq and is a predicted model, not a curated record. NCBI's taxonomy places the organism in Eukaryota, Metazoa, Chordata, Actinopteri, Syngnathiformes, Syngnathidae. The transcript has 5 exons.
CACAGAACACGACUGAUUGCUAUCAUAUAUAAAAAUGUAAUCAUGUGUAAAUAAAUAUAGAGUGUAAACAUAUAUAUUUUUUUUUUAAAUGUUCAUUGAACAUAAAUGGAAUAUUAUAUGUAAAUUUGUUUUCAUAUUUCCUUCAUGGACUGACAGCUGCAAAGGGAGGAGUGCUGCAUUGUCACCAUUCAAUUAGCUUUUUCCAUUUCCUCUCCAGCUACGCUACGUCGAUAAGUAGAAAUCAUUGAAUACAAUGAUUCGUUUACAGAUGUCUUUACAACUGACGGCCAUGCCAAGUGUUAAGUGAGCUGACUGCUAACAUUUGGCGCCUCCACGGCCCUCAGGUGGUUCAGCUGGAUCUUGGAAGACGUAAACAAAAAUGCUCAAAGGAGUGGAAGGACACCGUCGCAUCCAAAGAAAUGCCCACACUCACCGCUUUAACUCUUCUAAAGCAGAAUGUGUCCCAGGCGCUGAACUCAUGCCCCCCGUCCAUGAUGUGCUCCGACACCAACACUGACCAGAACCAGACUACUACUGGAUUGGCCUUAUUCAGACGGACGGGACAAGCAGCUUGAAGCAAGAAUAGUUCACCUGGAAGGGCCAAAGGCUCAUGACCUCAUGCAAUGAUGGCCAUUUGCCGCUGGCUCCAGGCGCGGUCUUCUCGUUUGCAGCAGCCAUUGUCUUCUCCAACAUCUGUUCUUUGUGGCCUCCACAUGCACCCUGCUGGGAGCUUUUCCUGCAACACCCUUAUCUGAUUUCCAUUUUAUACUUUCUGCAAUAAACACCCUUGUUUACCCCCAGACCAGUUACACAAUAGAACCCUUUAGUAACAUGAUCAUUGAGGGUCUUGCUGAUUAACGGACGUUUCUGUUGCUCGGAUGAAUGGCAGAGACAUGCUGUUUUGACACUGAAAUGGAUA